Molecule: ribosomal RNA, 308 nt
Filed under: Clostridioides difficile
Lineage: Bacteria; Bacillati; Bacillota; Clostridia; Peptostreptococcales; Peptostreptococcaceae
Description: bacterial LSU rRNA
Rfam family: Bacterial large subunit ribosomal RNA
Source: RNAcentral
UGGUCAAGUUAUUAAGGGUGCAGGGCGGAUGCCUUGGCACUAGGAGCCGAUGAAGGACGUGAUAAGCUGCGAUAAGCUUCGGGGAGUUGCACGUAAACUUUGAUCCGAAGAUUUCCGAAUGAGGAAACUCACUUAGAGUAAUGUCUAAGUAUCAUUAAGUGAAUACAUAGCUUAAUGAGGGGAACUCAGGGAACUGAAACAUCUAAGUACCGGAAGGAAGAGAAAGAAAUUCGAUGCCGUAAGUAGCGGCGAGCGAACACGGAUUAGCCCAAACCAAUAAAGUUUUCUUUAUUGGGGUUGCGGACAUA